UACGGAGGAUCCGAGCGUUAUCCGGAUUUAUUGGGUUUAAAGGGUGCGCAGGCGGGGGAUUAAGUCGGCGGUGAAAUUUUGCAGCUCAACUGUAAAAGUGCCUUCGAAACUGGUUUCCUUGAGUGUAGAUGAAGUAGGCGGAAUUUGUGGUGUAGCGGUGAAAUGCAUAGAUAUCACGAGGAACUCCGAUUGCGAAGGCAGCUUACUAAACUACUACUGACGCUCAUGCACGAAGGCGCGGGGAUCAAACAGGAUUAGAUACCCCGGUAGUCCCUGA
Molecule: ribosomal RNA, 277 nt
Filed under: uncultured prokaryote
Description: partial 16S ribosomal RNA
Rfam family: Bacterial small subunit ribosomal RNA
Source: RNAcentral